RNAcentral lists this ribosomal RNA (2375 nucleotides) under Salmonella enterica subsp. enterica. RNAcentral's name for it is "partial 23S ribosomal RNA". It matches the Rfam family "Bacterial large subunit ribosomal RNA", at positions 583 to 2925 of the family's 2925-position model. RNAcentral also lists the same sequence under 1 other name. The record is from RNAcentral. Lineage: Bacteria; Pseudomonadati; Pseudomonadota; Gammaproteobacteria; Enterobacterales; Enterobacteriaceae.
CUUUUGGGUGUGACUGCGUACCUUUUGUAUAAUGGGUCAGCGACUUAUAUUCUGUAGCAAGGUUAACCGAAUAGGGGAGCCGGAGGGAAACCGAGUCUUAAUUGGGCGUUAAGUUGCAGGGUAUAGACCCGAAACCCGGUGAUCUAGCCAUGGGCAGGUUGAAGGUUGGGUAACACUAACUGGAGGACCGAACCGACUAAUGUUGAAAAAUUAGCGGAUGACCUGUGGCUGGGGGUGAAAGGCCAAUCAAACCGGGAGAUAGCUGGUUCUCCCCGAAAGCUAUUUAGGUAGCGCCUCGUGAAUUCAUCUCCGGGGGUAGAGCACUGUUUCGGCUAGGGGGCCAUCCCGGCUUACCAACCCGAUGCAAACUGCGAAUACCGGAGAAUGUUAUCACGGGAGACACACGGCGGGUGCUAACGUCCGUCGUGAAGAGGGAAACAACCCAGACCGCCAGCUAAGGUCCCAAAGUCAUGGUUAAGUGGGAAACGAUGUGGGAAGGCCCAGACAGCCAGGAUGUUGGCUUAGAAGCAGCCAUCAUUUAAAGAAAGCGUAAUAGCUCACUGGUCGAGUCGGCCUGCGCGGAAGAUGUAACGGGGCUAAACCAUGCACCGAAGCUGCGGCAGCGACGCUGAUGCGUUGUUGGGUAGGGGAGCGUUCUGUAAGCCUGCGAAGGUGGCCUGUGAGGGUUGCUGGAGGUAUCAGAAGUGCGAAUGCUGACAUAAGUAACGAUAAAGCGGGUGAAAAGCCCGCUCGCCGGAAGACCAAGGGUUCCUGUCCAACGUUAAUCGGGGCAGGGUGAGUCGACCCCUAAGGCGAGGCCGAAAGGCGUAGUCGAUGGGAAACGGGUUAAUAUUCCCGUACUUGGUGUUACUGCGAAGGGGGGACGGAGAAGGCUAUGUUGGCCGGGCGACGGUUGUCCCGGUUUAAGCGUGUAGGUGUGUGUUCCAGGUAAAUCCGGUUCACUUUAACACUGAGGCGUGACGACGAGGCACUACGGUGCUGAAGCAACAAAUGCCCUGCUUCCAGGAAAAGCCUCUAAGCAUCAGGUAACAUCAAAUCGUACCCCAAACCGACACAGGUGGUCAGGUAGAGAAUACCAAGGCGCUUGAGAGAACUCGGGUGAAGGAACUAGGCAAAAUGGUGCCGUAACUUCGGGAGAAGGCACGCUGACACGUAGGUGAAGUGAUUUACUCACGGAGCUGAAGUCAGUCGAAGAUACCAGCUGGCUGCAACUGUUUAUUAAAAACACAGCACUGUGCAAACACGAAAGUGGACGUAUACGGUGUGACGCCUGCCCGGUGCCGGAAGGUUAAUUGAUGGGGUCAGCGCAAGCGAAGCUCCUGAUCGAAGCCCCGGUAAACGGCGGCCGUAACUAUAACGGUCCUAAGGUAGCGAAAUUCCUUGUCGGGUAAGUUCCGACCUGCACGAAUGGCGUAAUGAUGGCCAGGCUGUCUCCACCCGAGACUCAGUGAAAUUGAACUCGCUGUGAAGAUGCAGUGUACCCGCGGCAAGACGGAAAGACCCCGUGAACCUUUACUAUAGCUUGACACUGAACAUUGAGCCUUGAUGUGUAGGAUAGGUGGGAGGCUUUGAAGCGUGGACGCCAGUCUGCGUGGAGCCGACCUUGAAAUACCACCCUUUAAUGUUUGAUGUUCUAACGUGGACCCGUUACCCGGGUUGCGGACAGUGUCUGGUGGGUAGUUUGACUGGGGCGGUCUCCUCCUAAAGAGUAACGGAGGAGCACGAAGGUUGGCUAAUCCUGGUCGGACAUCAGGAGGUUAGUGCAAUGGCAUAAGCCAGCUUGACUGCGAGCGUGACGGCGCGAGCAGGUGCGAAAGCAGGUCAUAGUGAUCCGGUGGUUCUGAAUGGAAGGGCCAUCGCUCAACGGAUAAAAGGUACUCCGGGGAUAACAGGCUGAUACCGCCCAAGAGUUCAUAUCGACGGCGGUGUUUGGCACCUCGAUGUCGGCUCAUCACAUCCUGGGGCUGAAGUAGGUCCCAAGGGUAUGGCUGUUCGCCAUUUAAAGUGGUACGCGAGCUGGGUUUAGAACGUCGUGAGACAGUUCGGUCCCUAUCUGCCGUGGGCGCUGGAGAACUGAGGGGGGCUGCUCCUAGUACGAGAGGACCGGAGUGGACGCAUCACUGGUGUUCGGGUUGUCAUGCCAAUGGCACUGCCCGGUAGCUAAAUGCGGAAGAGAUAAGUGCUGAAAGCAUCUAAGCACGAAACUUGCCCCGAGAUGAGUUCUCCCUGAGACUUAGAGUCUCCUGAAGGAACGUUGAAGACGACGACGUUGAUAGGCCGGGUGUGUAAGCGCAGCGAUGCGUUGAGCUAACCGGUACUAAUGAACCGUGAGGCUUAACCUUACAACGCCGAAG